UGAGCAAAGACCAUGGGGCUGUGAGCGAAGUCAUGUUGCUCCCACCCUCCCCCGUGAAGAUAGACCCAGUAACGCUUUUAGUCACAAUUCCAUUUUUCUGGCCUGGGCCUCCUCCAUUGUCAGAGUUAGGCCCAGCGCAAAUUGGAGGAACAGCACCUCAUAUUUCGCUUGGGCAGCUUACACCUCAGCGAUUGUCAGUCUGAAGAAGCAUUUAUCUAUCCGUACUGUGCCUACAGUACCUGUAGACCUUUGGACUUCAACAAGACUUUAUAUCUUGUGUUAAAUGCUAUAUCCUUUAUCUAUGGAGCUUGGAGUGCAAAGGAUCCCACUAUCUUUGCCAUGCCCUCAUCUUGCUGCUACCGUUGGGCAGGAGGUACAGAAGCCUCAACAUCAGCACCAGAAUGUCUGAAGAAGGGUCCAGACCUGAAAC
Amblyraja radiata (thorny skate) is the source of this 430-nucleotide long non-coding RNA. RefSeq lists it as uncharacterized. The transcript has 4 exons. The record is from RefSeq and is a predicted model, not a curated record. NCBI's taxonomy places the organism in Eukaryota, Metazoa, Chordata, Chondrichthyes, Rajiformes, Rajidae.